Molecule: long non-coding RNA, 2592 nt
Filed under: Olea europaea (common olive)
Lineage: Eukaryota; Viridiplantae; Streptophyta; Magnoliopsida; Lamiales; Oleaceae
Description: long non-coding RNA (OEUR_LNC012987)
Source: RNAcentral
UUAUUACCACAGAUUCGGGCAGAGGUCUAGUUCCAUUCCACUCUCCAGACUUCUCACAUCGCUCCCAACUUCGCACUUCUCAAGCGAUUUCAGAAUCCAAUUCCUUCCUGGUGAGCGACGAGCGUGAAUGGUGUGCUGAAGCAAGAAGUCCCCAUUGCCGCAAGGUGGAAGCCCGCAACCGCAACUCCCAACUGGUACGAUUGUGAAUUUGUAUGUGUGAAUCACUAUCAAUUUAUCAUUUCAAUUUCAAUUUUCGAGUAUGACAUUAAACUGGGGCAUGUUUAUUGUUUAUGUUUAAUUAUUGGUUUUUUUUUUUUUGAGUAAUUUGUUAUGCUCUCUCUCUCUGCCUAAUUUGGUAUUAAUUUUUAGGGUUUUAAUUUUUGAAUUGCUUGCUUACAACUUACUUACUGUUUGGGGAUUUUGUUGAAAUUGGUUUUAUUGUGACGUUUUCAGUUGGGCAAUUUUGAGAUUUGCGGUAUUUUUAGGUUUUAUCUGUAAAUAGUCCCGUUCUUUUGAGUUUUGAUUUAAGUUUUUAUGAAUUGGUUUUAUUGUGAUUUAAGUUGGGCAAUUUAGAGAUUUGCGGUAUUUUUAGGUUUUAUCUGUAAAUAGUCCCGUCCUUUUGAGUUUUAAUUUAAGUUUUUAUGAAUUUUUUUUAUUGUGAUUUAAGUUGGUAUGAAAUGUUUAUGACUUUUAAUAAAUGGUGGAAACUGGAAAGUAAAUAAGUAAUUCUGUAGUGGGAGAAGUUCGAUAAGGAAAGUUGGGGCUUUUAAUAAAUGGUGGAAAGUUGGAAAGUCUUUAUGAUGGUUAAUAAAUGGUUGAAUUGUUAAUUUUUUAAUCAAUUCUAAUUGAAAAUGAAAUUGGGACAUUUUGCAUAUUAUGGAACGGUUUUUUCAAUCGAAACGAAAGUCUAUGCGUAGUUCUCCUAGUUUUAGUUGUGCUUCUAGUCCGGUCGCUGCUUCUAGCUAAGCACUCGAGUUGUUAAAUAACACAAAGAAGUCUCGGGCUCAAUUCAAUGUGGAUGAUCUUGUAUCUGAUUUUAGUGCAUUUACAUAAAUAUAUUGAACUAUAUAUAUAAUUUCUAGAUUUUAGUGCAUUUACAUAUAUAUUGAAUAAUUUUUAAUAUUAUUUAAUCUAAUUUUAAUAAACGAUCGGCCGCCGAUCGGACCAGGCUUUUAUGAUCUUUGAUUGUCGACAUUCAACGGUCAAAGUCAACAUUCGCCUUAGCUGAACAUUGAUGCUAGAUUCGCCACUGAGAGUGAAUGUAAAUUAUUGUUAUUAUUCAGAAAAAGGAUAGUGCCUGAUUCAGAAUUUGGCAUUUGUAAUCUGUGGAAGAUCAUAAAAAUCGUUACAAAGAGUUCAAAUUAUAAACCAUUUUACAUAUAAAAAAAAAUGGAAAUCUAAAUAGCAUACACACAUAAUCGCAUUAAAAUAGAAGAAAAUCACACUAAAUGCAAAAAACGCAAAAAUCACUACACAAGGAACAAUUUUCUUCAUUGUUAAACCUGUUUUGACCUGAGAAAGAUCACAAAAAAUUUACCCGAGUUACUUUUAAUCAAAAAGUUAAAAUGUUAACAAAUUUACGCUAAAAAAAGCUCACUGAGUGAGGAAAAUAAUUAAUGGAUAAUUAGUAUCAAAAUUUGAAAAAUAAAAAAUUUAUUCUUGGAAUUGAUUCAAAUAGUUGCCUCAUCGAUUGAGAAAAAGCUCUACAUAACGGAGAAAAAGGCAUGAGUCCAACACGGCAGCAACCAGAUUAUUGGUUAUAGAUCGUCAAUUUCACGAGGGAAAGGGGAAAAGGAAAGCUGAACAACAACAUAUGCAAGAAGAAAACGAAAUAGAAAAGAGAAAAGAAGAAAUGAUGGGUUUGUGUGGGGAAAUGAAGGAAGCAUGGCGCGGUGUGUGAUAAAACGAGACAAACGGUGAUUGAAAGAAUGGUAGAAGAGCCUAGAUAAUUCCAAUAAUAAUGAGAUUAUAGUAGUUAAAAAAAAAAAAAGAGAGAGAUGGCAUGCAACCCUAUGAACAGUGCCAGAGGAAACUCACUCUUUUAAUAGAGUGAGAAGUGAUAUAUUCAAUAUAUUAGGUAAUAGUUAGAUGCAAAUAAUGACAUCAUGAAACUAGGUAAAAACACAUUGACAUAUUAUGAUGUAUUGACUUUUAAACAAAUCAUAACUUUCUGAUAAAUUUCUAAAAAAUUGGCUGAAAAUUAAGACACUACAUAGAAGGCUAGAUAUUCAAUCUAACGCAAGGUGUGUGUGAGCCUUGAUCGUCGACUUUGUUUUGUGGUCAUUAACCUUUUUCCAUUGCUUUCCUGUCCCUUUGGGCACACUUUUUGCUUGCAUAAAUGUGUUAUCUCGACUGCUGGUUGCUUUUAUCCAAUUAUUAACUUGAUUGCCUCAUUCUUUGGUUUUUGUUUUGGGUGAGAGAACGAAUGCAUGGUUGUUGUGCACCUGGCCACUACAUAUUACAACUUGGUGCUAAAGAUGUCCACCUUUCCCUUCAAAUAAUGAAAAAUGGGAAAAGGCGAAGAGUGCUGGAUAUGCUAAAACCAUGGUGCCAGGACAGUAUUUAAAUAUAAAGCCCCAUGUUAAUAUAGUA